ACGUUUUUUUCAUAGAGAUUUAGAUUUAAGGUUAGAAGAAUUGUGGAAGUCGUGAGACUUCCCUUUUUUUCAUCUUAACGUUUACUAUUCUUCAUUAUGAGAAUGCAAUGACACUUCAUCUCAAGUGUUGCAAUUGAAAAUAUUGCAGGAAGAUGGUGCAGAAUAAGUAAACCUAAAAAGCCUUCUUCGUGAGAAGAGGCUUUUUU
This 206-nucleotide small RNA is filed under the name Bacteroides finegoldii. Its description in RNAcentral is "Bacteroides sRNA BTnc231". It matches the Rfam family "Bacteroides sRNA BTnc231". Rfam says of the family: An uncharacterized small RNA discovered in Bacteroides thetaiotaomicron The record is from Rfam by way of RNAcentral. Lineage: Bacteria; Pseudomonadati; Bacteroidota; Bacteroidia; Bacteroidales; Bacteroidaceae.